Molecule: ribosomal RNA, 283 nt
Filed under: uncultured bacterium
Lineage: Bacteria
Description: partial 16S ribosomal RNA
Rfam family: Bacterial small subunit ribosomal RNA
Source: RNAcentral
AACGAACGCUGGCGGCGGGCCUCAUACAUGCAAGUCGAGCGCGAAAGUCCGCAAGGAUGAGUAAAGCGGCGCACGGGUGAGUAACACGUGGGUAAAUCUACCUUUUGGAUUGGAAUAACCUGUCGAAAGACGGGCUAAUGCCGAGUGAGCUUUCUUGAACGUGAAGUUCGAGCAAGGAAAGAUGGCGCAAGCUAUCGCCGAAAGAUGAGCCUGCGUCCCAUUAGUUAGUUGGUGGGGUAAUGGCUUACCAAGACAAUAGAUGGGUACCGUACGGUUUGGUUAG